UUUGGCCCCUAAUGGGGGGGGGCGGCUGGUGUCCUGCCGCCCCAAUUAAUGAGAUAAUUACGGCGGCAAGCGAGAGAGCGGUGGGAGGGGUAAGUAAACCCUCCCGCCGCUCUUAAAGGUACCCCCCACCCAGUGCCACUAGCACCCGUUAUUUUAACGGGCUGAAAAAUACUAGUGCUUAUAUAACACAGUAGAGUGUUCAGAGUGCUUCACGCGCAUUAUCUCUGUAAUCCUUGCAACAGCAUUCCUGUGUUGCAGAUGGAGGACUGGGGCUGAGAGAGAGUGACUUGUCUAAGGUGACCCGAGGAGUUCAUAAUAGAGAUGAAGUUUGAAGCAGGGACGCCUUGGCUUACAAACUGAUCUCUGAUUCAUGGUGUUCUGCUUUGAGCCUCGUCCUCAUCCCCCUUGUCUUCUAGCAGAGUAAAUAGAGAAAGUAGUCCGACCCUGUCCAUCAAAUUCAAUCAAAGGCUCUAUUUGUCUAGUAUAGGGCUACACAGUUUUGACCCUCCACCUGUUUUGGAACCAGUUUCCAUCAUCUGCAGCCACAGUAGUCAAUAGGUAGGGAUGGUGGGAGUUGUAGUCCAGCCCUGCUUUAAUGAGAGGGGGUUCCGUUCUGCCCCCUACAGCUGCUGCAUCUUGAGUGGCUGAAAAGUAGCCGAGGUCUGCCUCCAGCUCCUCUGCUUCAUGCAUGUCACUGUUUGCCACUGAUGAGCUCCUGUCGACAUUGAGCACUUUAAUUCUAUGCUAUUAAUUACAUCAAUGUCCUUGUAUUCUUCCCUCUUUGGGGGCAGUUUUGUACAAAAACCAGUUGGCUGCUUCAUUUUCUGUAAACCCUUGUAUGGUUGGGAGCUUUCCUGAACAACCGUUGCCCACCAGGUGUAACUUGAUAAAAGCUUAAUAAUGUUGCUGCCAAUAGGCUUGCUGCUUCCCGGUAAGCACAUUGCAGAUACCAAGCAGGCAGCCUCAACUGCUCCCCAAGCAGUCUCCUGCGUUCCAUCAUAGCCGUAUCCCACGGCAAUUUGAGAGGUGGUUAAUCCUGCUAAUAUGUUGUAUUUAUAUGGCAUGUAUUCAAAGGCUAUUACGCCAGCUCUACAAAUGAGGAAGCUGAACUGCAGGAGCUGGGAAGCGAUUUGUCAGAAGCUCUGUUCCAAAUACUCCACUGUAUGGAAAGGCAAUACAAAGCACAGCUACAGUUCAAAAACAGGGGUGGACUACAUCCUCCAGCACACUGCGGAGAACAACAGUAUUGGUGUGAUCUGAGAGAGAGUCCCUUGGGAAGUGAACACUUCCCUCAUCGCCAACUUGUCCACUGCUGUUUGCAUAAGAGAUUUUCUUCUAUACAAACCUCUUACACCAGGCAUGGUGAGUGCCUCUUCUUCCCCCGUGCUACCUUUCCUCCAUAUCCCUGACUCCAUCUCAUAAGGGGGAGUGUGUGGUGUGGGUGGAAAGGCCGGAUGAUGAAUGGCUGUGCGUUAUCUCACAAGCAUGGUCAUGGUGUCAGGCCUGCAAGCAUUUACAGAGUUGUCUGUGCAAGGAAGUAUCAUGGGGUGCCUCUGAUUUUAUCGGGAGGGAAUUCAGCAUGGACUUAAAUCUAUUCCAUUAAAAUCAACAAGACUAAACAGAGGCUCAGGCUGCCUGCUGAAUGAGAACCCAAAUGAAAAGGGCCUCCACUGUUGCCUAAAAAAAGUUCUAGCUUAAAUUUGAUGAGUCUUUGUUGGGGAGGAAAGGUAGGAAGCAAUGGCAAAGGGAUGCAACAGGAGAGCUGAGAGCCCAGGCUAUUUUGUGGAAGCAUGGGAAGGAAUUCAAUAUGUUCCCACACACACACACACACCAUUUCCCCUAUUAAUGUGCCUCUCCGAAGCCUUCACUUGCCUUAUGGGGGAAAGCAUAUAGGUACCACUGAUCAGGGCAAACAGCACAGAGUGUGAUUUCCUUCAUGUCUUGCAUGUAGAGUUCCUAGAAGUUUGUGCUUGGCCACUGUGGGGACUAGAUGGCAGCUUGCUUUGAUCCAGCAGGGCUUGUUCUCCUGCAUCAUCAUGUCUAGCUUGGCCCAUAUACCUGCAUCUUCACCUGCAUCUUCAUCAUCACUCAGUGACUACACUGAGCAAUGAUUCACAUAUGUGAAAUGACUCUUAUGGGUCAGCCAGAAAUUCCCUCUCACUUGAUAUUGCUCCCAAAGCAAUGCUUUUAAAUGGGGACAUUUCUCAUGUUCUACAGUGAUGUAUGUGCUUGUGUGAAACUGCCCAAAGUUUCCACUUAUGUAUGGGCAAAGAGCAAUUAUUUAAAAAAGAGUUUAUGGAUCAGUGUCAGGGUAGGCCUACAAAUUUGGCAGAUGUCUGCUUCCAGUCUAGUCCUUGGGCUUCGAUUACAUCUCGCUCAUAAAUAUUCCAGAAGAAUUGAUAGAGCAGAUGGUGCAGGGUGGGAGGAAAAAUGCUGUUUACAAAGCUCUCUCUGUCUUUUAAGCUUUCCCCAGAAGAUGGCACCCUUGGACUCCUGGUUUCCAUGCAGAGUUGCUUGGAAGCCCAGAACUGGGGGUGGGGUAGUCGGGCUUUAUCCGAACCCUGCCCCGUACCUCUAGUCUGCUUUUGAACUGCUUCUGAAUGGUGAAACAAAGCAUUCUUUAUUUACUGGUUAAGAAAAGGCCUGUCAUCAGCCUGUCUGCUUGUGGCCAGAGAUAAGCAGGAUGUUCAACAGAGCUGAUGGAGUGCACAGCUUUCAAAAGGGCACUUUUCCCAUUUCUUGAGCUUUUGAAGAGGGGAAAGAGGCAGGUUAAGUGUGAACUCUUCCAUCUAUGCCCCCCACUUCACAAUGCAGGUGCCACUAGGAAUGCCACCACACUAUUGACUCUUAAGACCAGCAAUGCACACCAGGCCUCUUCUAAAAAUGCACCUAUUGAUUGCUGACAGCUCACUGGAAAAGUCCAGUCUAUAUACACUUAGGUUAUUGAUGGGGGAGGAAAACAAGCACUACCCUACUUGGGGACUAUCUCUGCUUCAGGUCCUUGGGUGGAUCACACAGGCCUUUGCUGCAGAAUGGAAACUCUUCCUCCCAGUUCAUUAACCUAACCAGGAUGAGAAGAUUGGGAGCCCUUUCUCACGAGCCAUGAGAAGGGCUCGAAGGGGCAAGGGGAGGAAGCCUUGAAAAGCUUGUCUCCCCUGCUGAUGAUCCUCUUCAUGUUGCUGGGCAGCUGGAUCAGCCACCCAGAUGAUUGCCAGCUUCUGCCAGUAGCUCGGAGGGAUGGGGUGUAGGGAUGCCCCCCAAACUCCCAUAAUGUACCAUGCGAGGUUAGGAGAGUGCCCCAUUAAGAGGGUGGCUCCAGUCACGGGUUUACCACCAAGGUGUGGCCAGGAUCAGGCAUGACACACGCAAAACUGGGCUGGGCUUCCUUAGCCCAGUUUUGCCUGCAUGUGUGAAUAGCUUCUGUCUUUGCUUGGGUCAAAGAGGCAGAACACAGACCCCCAAUUUAGCUACUGCCGCGUCUAAGGCUGUUAGGUGGCUUCUGUUUGAAUCAGCAAUAGCCAACUUCUGUUUUCUUCUAGGGGGCUCUGGUUGCAGAUCAGAUGUCUGCAACUCCUGGCCCAUAAAGCUGAAUGCACCCUUCCAAUGAUGUAUGGUGGACUUCCAGAGGUUGACAGCGUCCCUUUGUGCUGAUGAGACAGUGGACGUUCAGUGCCGGCUACUUGCAGCAGUAUUAUAAAGGCAUCCAUUAGGGUUGUUAAGUAGAAUCUGCUACUGGUUCUGUUUGCAAUUUAAGGGUGAUAACUCCAGUAUGCAAAUAAGACUGAGGAAGCAAAUGGCAUUAACAAAUCAGAACUCUCCAGUGAGAUUUUUUUUUUUUUAAGAAAUGGAAUGAUACCAAAGCACCAGCCAGCAGCACAGUCUUUUGCACAAAAUGAUGGAAAUGAAUACAAGCUGCGCAAGAACACAUGCUAUUCCAGUGCCUUAGAGAAAUGGAAGGGUCUGCAGUCAGAAGAACCACUGGUGGAGGAGCCACACGUCUGGCCAGUAACUCUGUGGUUCUGAAAGUGGGGUUAUGACUCCCAGCAUCCGACUCCCAGCAUCCCCUCCCACAAUAGAAUGUGGCUGGGGAUGCUGGAAAUUGUAGUUCACCAACAUCUGGUAGACCCCAUGUUAAGAACCACAGCUCUACAUCUUCAUCCUGAGCAGAAGAAAAGCCGAGGUUGGUCUAGUCCAGGACUGGUCAACCUGAGACGCUCUAGCUGCUGUUGGACUACAAGCUGGUGCUUAUUGUGGCUGUGGAUGAUGAGAGUUGUAGUCCAGCAAGUUAGAGCCUCAUGUUGGGCUAGAUUAACUGAUUACACAUUCUUUUUAAAAACAAUUAUUAAAAUCUAUUUUAACAAGAUCCCCCCCAAUUAACCAAGAACAGUUCUUUUUAAAAAAAGAUUUAAAUACUAUUACAGAAGUGCAGGUGACAGACAACAGGAGGAAACACCUCUUCUGAGAUAGUGCCUGCUGUGACCUGUGUGAAUCAUAUUUUAAAAAGAAGGAACAAUUGAUUUAUUCAUAUGCAGAUAACUGCAAUUUAAUCAAAUCAAUUCAUAGAUUAAUUGGAUGGAUGAAUGAAGAUGAUGGGAGUUUUAGUUCACAACAGCUGGAGAUCCAAGGUUGCUUACUGCUGCUCUAGAGAGAUAGUUUGAAUCUAAUCAUCUGCCCCCAAGCAAUUUGGGAUGGAAUGGACUAGAACUAUUAACAAAAUGGGAACAAUAAAUAAUUGCAAGAUCAGCUCAUUAGUGAGUUGUGCUAAGUAACACAUUUGAUCCACAUGGUUAUGUGUUUCCCACAUUUUAUUUAUUUAUUUAUCAGAUGUGUACACUGCCCCAAAUUUUCAUCUCUGAGCAGAUAACAAUAACAUAAAAAUAUACACAAACACUUAAAACAAUUUAGAUAAUUUAAAAUCAAACACAGAUUAAAACCUAAAAAUUUAAAAAGCUGAAAAAGCUUGGGUGAAGAGGUGGGUUUUCAAAUGCUUUUUAAAAAUUGUCAGAGAUGGGGAGAUUCUCAUUUCAGUAGGGAGCACAUUCCUCAGUCUCGGGGCAGCAACCGAGAAGGCCCACCCACCGUGUGGCCACCCAAAACAUUUUAACAGAAACAUUAUUGUGGCACUAGCAAAAGUGGUCACUAUUCAUCUCUUAAUCCUGGCUUGCACUAGAGAGCAUGAAAUUGCUGCUCCUGGCUUGCCCUAGAAAGCAUGAAGAAGGCAUGCUUCGUUCAUUCAGAGAGAGAUGAAGUAAUGGAUCAAUAACAGAGGGGCUCACGUUGAAAUUCAGAGCUAAGGGUGUUAAAAUUGAUGAAUGUAUUUUAAAUCAACACCUAUCUCUUCAUUUGGAGGGAGGAGGGGGUGGGAUUACACAACCACCUGUUUCUUUGGAUAUUUUUUUCCUGGGCACAGAUGGCAAACAUCAAGCACUGAUAGUGUUCCCAUGAAGAACAGCAGCCAUGUGAACAUUGCUAGAUACAGGUUUCCACCCAUGGGUUUCCCAUGACCUUGUUUUUCACAAGACAUCAGGAUGGCAGAUUAGUAGGUUUGGGCUGAAAAUAAUGAAGAGUAUGCCAGAUUCUCUACAGCCAAGUGGGGGGCGGGGAAGAUUUCAUUUGCUGAGAGAGAGAGAGAGAGAUUGAGAGAGAUGUAUGAAUGGCACUGGCAGAUUAUUACUGAGUAGCCAUACUACUCAGUAAUACUAAUUCUUUCAUCUCUUCUAGAAACCAGGGAUAGCACCUGCAGAGGGUAAUAUUAGGGAACAGGGACACUGAAGUAACAGGGAACUGGCUGAAAUACUGUGCAACGUAACACAUGCAGUUGAGUAACAUUUAUGCAAGAGCAAUAAAGAGCAAUACUUGCACUUGUUGUGCAAGUGGGAAAAUUACUCAAAGAACAACAGCCUGAACUUAGGGCUUUCCCCCACAACAAACUGGGUGCUGAGGAGUGUGUGUGUGGGGGGGGGUAUUUUUGUCUCCCUCUCCUCCCUCCAAAAGCCCUAUAAAUAUGUUCCUGAGGGUUUCACAGCAGGGUUUCACUAUUUGGAAGGGCUUUUGGAGGAAGGAGAGAGACAUAAAAAUCACCCCCCCCCCUCUCUGUGCCUGAUCUGCUGCACAAAGCAGUCUUCAGCACAGGGAUGCUGAAGCUUUCUUGUGGACCCGCAGCCUUCCUUCUGGCAACAGAGGGCUGCACAUCUGGUCUCCCCAAUACCCCUCAAGGAUCUUUGUUUACUAAAUAGUCACAGAGAAGUGUGAUCCACCUCAGGACUGUAGCUUGGGAGAAAGAGGGCUUUAAAUGUUUCCCUCACAUUGUCGCAAUCCAAAUUGGGGCCUACAGCUGCUUUUGGGGCCUGGAGGAAAGUGGCAGGGGGUGGGCAAUGGGAUUGGCACCAGGGCAGCAAGAAAGGGUUAAACCCCUUCUUUCCAUCCUGUGGUCCCAAGGUGGGUUUGCAUUCCCCCAUGGCUUCUUUUAGUAAAUACAAGUUAAGUGCAUCAGGGCCAACGAAGCACUUAACAUAAUGUGUAGUUGGGCCCCCGGGGGGGAAAUAAAAGUUACCUUACAGUGGCUUAAUUCUUUAAAAAUGAUCUAUGAAUCAUCCCCAGCUAAGUGAACAGGACAGGACUUGCAGUAAAAGUUGGCCCCCUGUCUUCUCAGAAAUGGUGGGGCAGCUGUUAACCUUUCAUCGGAAGGGCCUGCUUUUUAUAGAAUCUGCAUAUUAUUCACCAUUCUCAUCUACUAGAUGAAAAAACGCUGGCUGAACACUUCUGGGGGAAAAUAAAAUCCAGCCUCAAAGCACUGUCUCAGUUUUCUGGUAGAAAAUUUCAAGAGACUGCACUUAAGGGGUGGUGGGGAGGGAAUCAGCAUUAUUUCCUGUCACUUUUGGCCCAUAUAUUUGCCUUUCCCCUCAUGGACCCUGCUGAAGUUGAUUAUCUUCUAGAGUUGGAGGUAGAGAAUUCCAUCCAAGGUUGGGCCAAAAAAAAAAAAAAAAAGAAAAGAAAAAAAGAAGCAGCAGCAAAAAGCAAUCAGAGCCGUAAGUCAAACAACCAAUCGCAUGACAUGUUGAGCUCCCAUGCUUGGUUACAAGGAUGGCUGCACUUUGCUUGUAAUGAGUUGCUGCUUUAUUAUUCCAUCAGUAUCAAAUGGACACCUUAAUUAAUGAAUUUUACUAGAGAGACAAAGAACCUGGCCACAUCCGAAUGGCGAAUGGAGGAAACAAUUUUAUAAGCUCAUUAUGCCUCUCUGCUGAAAUCAUCUAAGGAGCCACAAAGUUUACCAGUGCCUGAAAGACAAUUUGACUUUCAGGUAAAUAAAUCCGAUCAGUCACAGUUCUUGGACAAGGCAUGGCAAAGUAACUUGGAGGAAAAACCCAAGCCACAAGCUGUAUCUGUUGAAAACAACUUAGCAAGCAUGCAAAAACAAACAAACUUCGGUUCACACUGUGAUUAGUACAGGAAUAGUGGAGGGAGAGAUGGGCUCAGUGACCACAAACACUGGCCCUGUGUUAACUCCCAUUGAACUGGAUUGUUUAGCAUCACUCCCGGCUAUUUGAUCACUGGAAGCAGUCCUCCGUUUCCCAUUUUUGUCUAAUGAACGAAAUAUUAAGCCUUCCCGUACCUCACAAGGGAACUAGGACACGUUAUUCAUUGUACUGGUAUAAGCAUCUUUUCUAAAGCUGCCCAGAACCUUGACAAAUUAUUUUCCCAUAGCUGAGAAUAGACAAUGGUGUCAGAUGUAAAAAUGGUCUGCAGCGAAUAAUUAGCAGACCCUGAUACAUGUGUCAACUAACCACUUUCCCCACAACCCAAAUUAUAGUAUCUAGAAUGGUUCAGCUGAUACGACGACAGAUAUUUAUAUACCGCUCUUCAACCAACGUUCUCUUUUUCAUAGAAAAAUACAUAAAUAAGAUGGUUUCCUGUCCCCAAAGGGCUCACAGUAUAAAAAGAAACUUAAGGUAGAUACCAGCAACAGCCACUGAAAGGAUGCUGUGCUGGGGGUUGGACAGGGCCAGUUGUUCUCCCCCUACUAAAUAUAAGAGAAUAACCACUUUAAAAGCUGUCUCUUUGCUCGGUUAGCUGAUACAUUUUUUUCAACCACCUGCGCUGGUUAAGCAGGACACUUUUAAUAUAAGGGGCCUGAGAUGAGAAGAAAACAUGCUUCCCAGGAAGAUUUCACACCCAGCUUUUAAUUUGCAUCUCCUCAGAACAUUGACAUAUCGGCCAAAUAUUCUUCAAAGUCCCUGCGAGCUAUCAAAAGUGAGCACACACAUUUUUCGUGUGUGUGUGGGGGGGGGGGGGUUAUUGCACAUUAGAGUGUAGCCUGGGUAAAGAAAAUCCACUUUUUGUGUCGGUUUUGGGGGGUAGCUACAAACUCACAGUAAAGCCUCUCAGUAAACCUGAGGUAAAGCCAGCUGUCUGGGAGAGCUCCAGCUGUCUCUUCCUAGCAGCUGAACAUUGUUUGUCUUUGUUCUUAAGCUUCAGUACUAUCCAUUUUAAGUGUAAUUAUAAACUAUACUAAGGACAAAGUACCUUACAAGUGAAGAUCUCACACUCAGCGUGACUCUUUGCUUUUGUAAUAUAACACAUUCUUAUAUUAUUAUAUUGUAUUUUGUGGUGUGUUGUGCUGAGUUGUAACUACUGGUCAUUGGCCGAAAUAAACUAAACUAACAUACUCCACAA
Hemicordylus capensis (graceful crag lizard) is the source of this 8673-nucleotide long non-coding RNA. RefSeq lists it as uncharacterized. The transcript is spliced from 2 exons. The record is from RefSeq and is a predicted model, not a curated record. NCBI's taxonomy places the organism in Eukaryota, Metazoa, Chordata, Lepidosauria, Squamata, Cordylidae.